ACCCGUUGAUCCUGCGGGAGAUUACUGCUAUUGGGAUUCGACUUAGCCACGCAAGUCAUGGGGUCCUUCGGGACACCGGCGAAAUGCUCAGUAACACGUCGAUAAUCUGACCUUAGGUCAGGGAUAACCUUGGGAAACUGAGGCUAAAACCUGAUAGGGAAAUUUUUCUGGAAUGAUUUUUUCCUUAAAAGCAAUGCCUAAGGAUGAGUUGGCGGCUGAUUAGGUUGUUGGUGGGGUAAUGGCCCACCAAGCCGAAGAUCAGUAUGGGUCUUGAGAGAGAUAACCCAGAGAAGGGCACUGAGAUACUGGCCCUAGCCCUACGGGGUGCAGCAGGCGCGAAACCUUUACAAUGCACGAAAGUGUGAUAAGGGAAUCCCAAGUGCUUUGCUUAUUGCAAGGCUUUUCUUAAGAGUAAAUAUCUUAGGGAAUAAGUGGUGGGAAAGACCGGUGCCAGCAGCCGCGGUAAUACCGGCGCCACAAGUGGUGAUCAUGUUUAUUGGGCCUAAAGCGUUCGUAGCCGGUUUGAUAAAUCUUCUGUGAAAUUGUCAGGCUUAACCUGACAGCUUGCAGAAGACACUAUCGGACUAGGGACCGGGAGGAGUCAGAGGUAUUCUUGGGGGAGCGGUAAAAUGCUAUAAUCCUAAGAAGACUAACAGUGGCGAAGGCGUCUGACCAGAACGGAUCCGACGGUGAUUGGACGAAAGUCAGGGGAGCAAUCCGGAUUAGAUACCCGAGUAGUCCUGACUGUAAACUCUGCGAGCUAGGUGUUGCAUAUUCUUCGGGAAUAUGCAGUAUCGAAGCGAAGGCGUUAAGCUCGCCGCCUGGGAAGUACGGUCGCAAGGCUGAAACUUAAAGGAAUUGGCGGGGGAACACUACAAGAGGUGCGGCGUGCGGUUUAAUUGAACUCAACGCCCGGAAUCUUACCAGGGGCGACGGCAGAAUGAAAGUCAGGUUAAAGAUCUUACUUAACAAGCCGAGAGGAGGUGCAUGGCCGUCGUCAGCUCGUGCUGUGAAGUGUCCUGCUAAGUCAGGCAACGAGCGAGACCUGUACCUAUAAUUGCUAACAACUCUUUCAGAGGAUUGAGCACAUUAUAGGGACGGCUGCGGAAACGCAGAGGAAGGUGCAGGCUACGGUAGGUCUGUAUGCCCCGAAUCCCCUGGGAUACACGCGCGCAACAAUGGUAGGAACAAUGGGAUACGACUCCGAAAGGAGAAGUUAAUCCUCGAAAUCCUAUCCUAGUCCAGAUUGAGGGCUGUAACUCGCCCUCAUGACGUUGGAAUCUCUAGUAAUCGGAUGUCAACAUCGUCCGGUGAAUAUGUCCCUGUUCCUUGCACACACCGCCCGUCAAACCACUCGAGCAGGGUUUAGGUGAGACUCAAUAUUUUUGAUUGAGUCGAACCUAAGCUCAGUGAGAUGGGUUAAGUCGUCACAAGGUA
Molecule: ribosomal RNA, 1437 nt
Filed under: metagenome
Description: bacterial SSU rRNA
Rfam family: Archaeal small subunit ribosomal RNA
Source: RNAcentral